AAAAAGACAAACCUUGGGUUUGCGUGUCCAACUUUGACUAUCCGUCUUAUAUGAAAUUUUUUUAUAAUUCGUAUUUUUAUUAUUGUUAGAUGAUAAAACAUGAUUAAUAUUUUAUGCGUGACUUGUCUUUUUAAUUUCUUUCAUAAUUUUUUCAAAUAAGACGGACGGUCAAACGUUGAGCACGGAAACCAGGGUU
Molecule: microRNA precursor, 196 nt
Filed under: Oryza sativa Japonica Group (Japanese rice)
Lineage: Eukaryota; Viridiplantae; Streptophyta; Magnoliopsida; Poales; Poaceae
Description: MIR812 microRNA precursor family
Rfam family: MIR812 microRNA precursor family
Source: Rfam by way of RNAcentral